This 255-nucleotide ribosomal RNA is filed under the name uncultured bacterium. Its description in RNAcentral is "partial 16S ribosomal RNA". It matches the Rfam family "Bacterial small subunit ribosomal RNA", at positions 524 to 777 of the family's 1533-position model. The record is from RNAcentral.
UACGUAGGUGGCAAGCGUUGUUCGGAAUUACUGGGCGUAAAGCGCGCGUAGGCGGUGAACUUUGUCAGAGGUGAAAUCCCGAGGCUCAACUUCGGAAUUGCCUUUGAAACGGGUUCGCUUGAGUCCGAGAGAGGAUGGCGGAAUUCCUAGUGUAGAGGUGAAAUUCGUAGAUAUCGGGAGGAACACCGGUGGCGAAGGCGGCGACCUGGGGUAGAUACUGACGCUGAGGUGCGAAAGCGUGGGGAGCAAACAGGG